UACGAAGGGUGCAAGCGUUACUCGGAAUUACUGGGCGUAAAGAGCGUGUAGGCGGCCAGGUAGGUCUGCUGUGAAAACUCGAGGCUUAACCUCGAGAUGUCGGCGGAAACCAUCUGGCUAGAGUCCGGAAGAGGAGAGUGGAAUUCCUGGUGUAGCGGUGAAAUGCGCAGAUAUCAGGAAGAACACCCGUGGCGAAGGCGGCUCUCUGGGACGGUACUGACGCUGAGACGCGAAAGCGUGGGGAGCGAACAGG
Molecule: ribosomal RNA, 253 nt
Filed under: uncultured bacterium
Lineage: Bacteria
Description: partial 16S ribosomal RNA
Rfam family: Bacterial small subunit ribosomal RNA
Source: RNAcentral